Molecule: long non-coding RNA, 310 nt
Organism: Salarias fasciatus (jewelled blenny)
Lineage: Eukaryota; Metazoa; Chordata; Actinopteri; Blenniiformes; Blenniidae
Exons: 2
Source: RefSeq, a predicted model, not a curated record
ACAGUGAAGCAUACACAUGUCUCCCACUAAGGAAGCACCGACCAAGAGAAGCAGCAGACACAAUGGAGUGUUUAAGUAUGCGGAAAACUUUAUGCCUGAGUGGAAGAGGAGCUUUGAAGGAAUCCGCUGAGGGACACCCAACCUCCCCCUGAACUGAGCCUGUACCUCCUCAUCAGAGGGAGAGAAAGCCAUGGAGUGUGUGUGUGUAGAGCGGUGGUGUGGAUAAGGCGAUAGGGAGAGAUAGAGAGGAGUAGAUGUUUAGUUGGAAGGGGAACUGAUGAAGAAAAGCCAGGAGUAAAGGCAGGAAAAA